UUUUUAACAGACAUUGUAGAGCUUUUCCCCAAAUUUUCCUUUUUCAAAAUGUUCGAAUACAAUUUUUAGAGUUUCUGGAAAAAGCUCCUAAAUGUUUUCUAAUGUGUGUUUAUGCUCGCUUGUUUCUUUCUUAUUAUGUUCAAGUCUAUUCUCUUAUUUUUUCCUGAUUGUGCAAAGAUUCCUUUCUGUUCUUUGUUCACGUGCUAAGUUAGGUCGUUGCUCCUCUCUCUUUGCCAUAUGUGUUUAAGUUCAUGCUUUGAUUUUGUUUCACUUUACUAAGUAUCGUUGAUAUUCCUGCUCAGCAUGUUUUUUUGCCUACCU
This 321-nucleotide long non-coding RNA is filed under the name Nicotiana benthamiana. RNAcentral's name for it is "long non-coding RNA (NBEN_LNC014472)". Lineage: Eukaryota; Viridiplantae; Streptophyta; Magnoliopsida; Solanales; Solanaceae. The record is from RNAcentral.